UACGUAGGGUGCAAGCGUUGUCCGGAAUUAUUGGGCGUAAAGAGCUCGUAGGCGGCCAGAUAAGUCCGGUGUGAAAGUCACAGGCUCAACCUGUGAAUGCCGCUGGAAACUGUCUGGCUAGAGUCCGGGAGGGGCGAGUGGAAUUCCUGGUGUAGCGGUGAAAUGCGCAGAUAUCAGGAGGAACACCAAUGGCGAAGGCAGCUCGCUGGAACGGUACUGACGCUGAGGCGCGAAAGCGUGGGGG
Molecule: ribosomal RNA, 244 nt
Filed under: uncultured bacterium
Lineage: Bacteria
Description: partial 16S ribosomal RNA
Rfam family: Bacterial small subunit ribosomal RNA
Source: RNAcentral